RNAcentral lists this unclassified non-coding RNA (253 nucleotides) under uncultured Solirubrobacterales bacterium. RNAcentral describes it as "contains 16S-23S intergenic spacer region". It matches the Rfam family "Bacterial small subunit ribosomal RNA", at positions 524 to 776 of the family's 1533-position model. Lineage: Bacteria; Bacillati; Actinomycetota; Thermoleophilia; Solirubrobacterales. The record is from RNAcentral.
UACGUAGGGGGCGAGCGUUGUCCGGAAUCAUUGGGCGUAAAGCGCGCGUAGGUGGCCAUUUAAGUCCGCUGUGAAAGUCAAAGGCUCAACCUUUGAAAGCCGGUGGAUACUGGAUGGCUAGAGUACGGAAGAGGCGAGUGGAAUUCCUGGUGUAGCGGUGGAAUGCGCAGAUAUCAGGAGGAACACCAAUAGCGAAGGCAGCUCGCUGGGACGUUACUGACACUGAGGCGCGAAAGCGUGGGGAGCGAACAGG